Molecule: long non-coding RNA, 2532 nt
Filed under: Homo sapiens (human)
Lineage: Eukaryota; Metazoa; Chordata; Mammalia; Primates; Hominidae
Description: non-protein coding lnc-BID-3:1
Source: RNAcentral
GGCACGUGCCUGGUGGGGACUUGGAUCCCGGGGCAGGCAUUGGGGGAGGCACCUGGUGGGGGCCUGGAUCCCUGGGGCAGACUGCACCGGGGAUGCCCUUCUCAGGCAAGGCUGCUUCAGGGGCACCUGGCUCCUGGCUGCCUGCGGUCUGGCCCACACCCCUCACCACCAGUCACUCUUGUGGGGAGACUGCGUCUCCCCUCUGGGGGCCGGGUUCAGGGUGAUGAAGGAGAGAGAACGCUCUGACCUGGAGGGCAGACAGGGCCACCUUCCUUUCUCCUGCAGAGUGAAAUUCCCUCUCACAUGCCAGGGUCCUUCUCUGGCCUCUGGCAACUCUGCAAAUGCUCUGACCUUUGUCCUGCCCCACAUUCUGGCAGGAGGGCCUGCAGCCUGGGUGUCAGCCCCCACCCCCACGCCCCGUCUGUGGUUGGACCUCAGUGCAGUGCUUCUGUGCUUGUCCCGCAGGUUCAGGCGUGAACGGCCUGGAGGAGCCCAGCAUCGCCAAGCGACUGAGGGGCACCCCAGAGCGGAUCGAGCUGGAGAACUACCGCCUGUCCCUGAGGCAGGCUGAGGCACUGCAGGAGGUACCGGAGGAGACUCAGGCCGAGCACAACCUGAGCAGCGUGCUGGACACGGGCGCCGAGGAGGACGUCGCCAGCAGGUCAGCACGCAGGGCUGCAGGGCGCCCACCCGCCACACGGCCCUAAGAGCCUCCUCACCUCUGUGUGUCUCGGUUUCUUCUCAGUGAAGGGAGGCCUCCUGUCUUUCCUGCUGCCCGCAGUCCAUUCUCCCCAGUCCCUUUUAGGUUCUUAGCCUCAUCUUCUAGUCAGUGAGGACUCCUCCAUCAGACUCAAUUCAGAGAUUCAGGAAGUAUUUAUUCCUUGAGGACCUGACAUGUCCCCAGCUCCAAGUCUGUCAUUGGGAAGGAAAGUGGCAGGCUCUGCCCCCGGGUUAUUCACAGAUUCAGCAGAGGGAAGGACGGGCACACGGGGAGGGACUCUGGGUGAUUCAGCCACCAGUGCACCGGGCCGUCUUGAGGGAGGCCUAGUCCGUCCCCCAGGCAUCUUUUUUUCUCCUGUAGGUAAAGAAAGGGACUGAAAAUGUGUGCCCCAGGGGCCGCAUGCAGCACCAGUGGAUGCAUGCUUAGGCAGUUCCAGAGCUGUAAUCACAUCCAGCUGGGUGACACCUUUGGGGAUGUGCAUGCUAUAACCCUAGGACUCCCUAUAUCCACUGCCCUGCACCCCAGGGCUUCCAGUAUCAGCGAAGGCUUCAAAGUGUUCAGCCGAUUACAGAUGAUCAAGAGAGCCAAGAAUCAAAAGGGGGUCCGGUGUCCUGUGGGGCUUCAGGACAGAAACACAGGCUGCAAACCCGAGGGGCAGAGGCCUCAAGUGGCCUUGGAGAGCAUUUGAAUCACACACCUUGAUUUAGCCAUGAUGAAGGGAACAUGUGGGGAUAAGGAGAGCAGAGCAGUUUUUUUAAGGUCCAAGAACGCUUUCCAGAAGGUGUUUGCUGGGCCGAGCUGCUUUCAGCUGCACCCGCCACCUCAGCCCUCAUGUCAGACACCCUCUGCCUAGAUUCAUUCUUGGGCUGCCUCACAGACCGCUCCUCCGUGCAUGCCGGGGGCAGCCUCUGCCUUGGUGUCUGCAGUUCCAAAGCUGUCACUGAUGGUGCAUCCUCAUCCAGAACUCUGCUUCCCUAUCCAGAGCACCCAUGGAGGCCCCACUCUCCCCACUGUGCCCAGAUGAGGGGGAGCCCACUCUCUCUCUCCACUGACCCUGCAGUGAGGGUGAGAGAUGCUGUGUGUCAAAACACAUUUAUAAACCCUUGAGCAGAGCUACUGGCUUGACCUUGGGCUGAGUGUGGGUCAGCACCAUUUUCUCCACUGUAAUUUAUAAAUUGUGAGAGGCAGUGGGGCAGCAAGUUCAUGUAAUGUAGCAAGGACAUUCCAGGAAGGCUAACCCCUGGCAUUUAUGGCAGGUAUGACAGGAGGGCAGCACAGAAAACAUGAAAUCAGUCAGCAUCUAUGCAAUGCAAUACAUGCCUCAUCUUACUCAGAUUGAAGUUAAAAAAAGAUUUUAAAACUAGCAUUCAUGCUGGGCGCAGUGGCUCAUGCCUGUAAUCCCAGCACUUUGGGAGGCCAAGGUGGGCACAUCACUUAAGGUCAGGAGUUCAAGACCAGCCUGGCCAACAUAAUGAAACCCUGUCUCUACUAAAAAUACAAAAAUUAGCUGGGCAUGGUGGUGCACACCUGUAAUCCCAGCUACUUGGGAGGGUAAGGCAUGAGAAUUGCUUGAACCUGGGAGGCGGAGGUUGCAGCGAGCCGAGAUCAUGCCACUGCACCACUGCACUCCAGCCUGUGUGACAGAAUGAGACUCCAUCUCAAAAAAAAUUAAAAUUAAAAUCAAAAAAUAAAAUAAAGGCCAGGCACGGUGGCUCACACAGGAGAAUCACUUGAACCUGGGAGGCGGAGGUUGCAGUGAUCUGAGAUCACACCAGUACACUCCAGCCUGGGAGAUGGUGAGACUCCGUCUC